This is a long non-coding RNA of Schistocerca serialis cubense, 1161 nucleotides long. RefSeq lists it as uncharacterized. The transcript has 3 exons. The record is from RefSeq and is a predicted model, not a curated record. NCBI's taxonomy places the organism in Eukaryota, Metazoa, Arthropoda, Insecta, Orthoptera, Acrididae.
AACACACGCUUGUCGCUUGUAUGCCGACGAGGUUGUGUUUCACGGAACUGAAAAUGAAAUUUACACUAGAAAUAGCUGAAGUAUGUAAAAGUUAAGAGUGCUCUAGUCCUGCGGGAAAGCAAAUCAGACAAAUUUUUCUCACCAUGGCUGGAAACACAGAUGACCCAUUUGAGCACUUGCUUAAUAUGUACCGAAAUAUUUCGGAGAUGUGUGUUCUGCACUGCGUUUCGAAGCGAAGGCCAGGGACACCCAGACGUGGAGAGGUGCUGUGUGUUGAAUACUGUAUAGCAGAUGAAAUGCAGCAUUUGAGGAAGUCUACAAUAAACAGAUUACCAAACUACAAGAAAGUCUAAUUAUCUGAAUUGUUUACAUGUGAAUAUGUAAUUCUUAAUAAAGAGUGAUGUUGAAAAUAUAAUAAUAAUAAUAAUAAUAAUAAUAAUAAUAAUAAAAUAUAUGUAUUCAUAAAUAUUAAGAUGUGAACAAUGUUUCAGAGUUUACUACACCAUAUGAGCCAAAACUGUCAUGUCAUUGUUUGCUGCCAGUUGUCAGUUAGUGGAAUUAGAGUAGAAAUCUCUUUAAAUUGAAGGUAAAUGUGAAAAGAUAGAGUUAAGGUUUGUACAUGUUUCAAAACUACAGAAAUAUCAAGCCUCUUAGAAAAUAUAGAAAUUACUGUUAAGGUAUUCAUCCAUUCAUUCAAAGGAGAUCAGCACAAAUUUCUGAAUGAAAUAAGAAUAACUAAAAACUAUAACUUUUGUAGCUUAUUAUUAUUAUCAUUAUUCCUAUUACUUUUAAUAUUUGUAUCUCUGAACAGUAAUUACCUAGAUUUAGUCAUAGGUUUCUGGGAAAAUUUUUGCCACUGUAGCUCAUCUAACAUCUUUAUGUUUAUUUGAACAAGUGAAAUGUUUAAAUGUUUGUAAAAGGAAGUAAUAAAGCAAAACAAGUGGAAAAAGUGAAAACUUUACAGAAAUUUUCAGUUCUUGAAGUAUUUACAUGUCACUGUGUCUUACUAUUGCUGAUACUGGGUUAUUCUAAGUAGGUACUCAUGCAGUUACAUAAUAUAGAAUCAGAAAAUUCAAAAUUGAACUAUUCUUAUUUAAUAUUUUAACUUUUGCUAGUCACUCAGAAAACCUAUUUUCAUUUUAUGCUGUAUCUGUGCCUUUA